GGCGGCCGGCGUGACGCGGUUGGCUGAGGUCACCGUGACGUCACCGGCGCCCCCGGGCUGUCAGCUGGAGCCGGCCGCGCCGCCGAGGCAGCCGGCCUUAAAGGGGGCCCCGCGCGCAGGGGGAGGCCCCGGGUGGACCCACCGGCGGGAGGCGGCGGCGGCUGGCCCCCGGCCAGGUGGGACCCUGCCAGCGCCCGGAUGCCUGAGCUGCCGCCCCGCUGCCCUGCUCCUGGCUACCCAGCACCAGUUCUUCAGUGGCAAGCUUUAUGUCCUCUUCUAGUAGCUAAAGCUGCCAGUUGAAGAACUGUUGAAUGUAGCCACUCUCUUCUCGUCACCGAGGCGCUGCACAUCAGCUGCACCUGUGCCCCGAGAGACCGGGAUGAGUAAAUCAGCAGCGUCCUGAGGAUUGACCCCUCCGAGAGCUGAGGCUGAGGAGGGCGGGGAUGAAGAGCGCGCCUUGCAGCAUCCAGGCAGAGCCGUGGCUGGAGGAGCUGUAACGGGGCUGUACAAUGGGGAGCGGGGUCCCCGCCUGCCGGCGGGGUGGCGUUUAACUGGGACGGCUGGAGAAGGCUUUGAAAGAGACAUUAAACUUUCUGUUUUCCUCAA
This is a long non-coding RNA of Cygnus olor (mute swan), 606 nucleotides long. RefSeq lists it as uncharacterized. The record is from RefSeq and is a predicted model, not a curated record. The transcript is spliced from 3 exons. Lineage: Eukaryota; Metazoa; Chordata; Aves; Anseriformes; Anatidae.